Lonchura striata (white-rumped munia) is the source of this 1390-nucleotide non-coding RNA. The record is from RefSeq and is a predicted model, not a curated record. Lineage: Eukaryota; Metazoa; Chordata; Aves; Passeriformes; Estrildidae.
GUGCAGCUUUAAAAUACUUUGCAGAAAACAAAACGAAUGUUUUACUUCUACAUAAAACAGAUACAGCUAUACUAAAAUUAGUCACAUAAAACAGCCAGUGGAUUCAUCUGUAUGGAACCUUUUUGGAAAAUGCUUUGUACUGGAUCUCUGCAGAGGUAUCCGGGUCAAACCGCGUGUACUAUUGAUUAAGGACUGAGGAAAAAACCCUGAAAACCUCCCUUGACAGAGAUAUUCAAGGAAGAAUAUUAGCAUGGAGAUAAAGCAAGGUCUCUCGCAUCUCCUUCCUUCCUGAACAACCACUGCAGUCUUUAAACAAAAGAUGCCAGUAAACUGCGGCGCUUUAUGGCGCUGAACUGCACAGCCACAAGAGGGGGUUUGAAGAACGCGAUCUGCUUCCCGCUGCCAGCCUGAGCCUGCCCUUCUGCGCACGGCCUGUUAGAAGAAACAUGAAACCAGCGAUUUCCUGAAAUGACUGAAAUUUUCAGUCAUUUUUCAAAUGACUCCUUCAGUCACUCAUUUGGUAAAAUGACUAAAAGUUUCACGUGUUCUACAAAGUGACUGACGUGCUGCAAAUUCCGCCAGUCUGUUUGACUGCUUGUUUCCCCCAGUAGCAGGCAUAUUGUGAAAAGGGGUGUUAUUGGAUAAGGAUCCUUUGCUUUUUUCUUCGCUGGCUGCUGGAGAUGCCUCUGGAUUUUGAAAGUAGCUUCAGAAAUGAACUUUCCAAAAAGUAGGAGAAGUGUGCAAAGUGCUUGAUACUAAAGGAAAGAUACAGUACAGCUAUCACUGAGAUCAAAAAGGCAAGCCAAGAUCCCAAACUCAAAUCAAGAUUUGAACACUACUUGCUUGUAAAGGAGAAGAAUGAGCAAUGAGAUACAGAAAAAGUAAAGAAUAAUUUACAGACUGCUUUGAUGGAGACUUGUCCUUGGUUUUUAUGAUCUUACCACUGUAACGUUUCUUCUGCAUUAUAUACAUCCUUGAAAAAUACUUCAGUUCAUUUCAACAGAUGGCCAUAAGGGAUUUCAUAAAGAGAACAUGCCAGAUUAGGAAUACAUUUUAAAGAAUGACAGCCAAGAAUGAAGCAAUUUUUGUUGACUGAGUCCGAGCAAUCUAGACAUCUUGCAUAUUACACCUUGUCAUAAGGAACUAAAUAGAACAGAGCUGAGGAAGUAUGUUUAAGUGUAUAUGCCAUGGAGGGAUUUAAUUCUGCCAAACUCUUAAUUUUUGAUGGACUCUGAGAGGUUAGUGAAUGAUCCUUUAAUUUCAUUAGCCUUGCACUUUGAACACUGGAUAAAGGUAUUUUAUUUAUUGCUUAAAUUGAAACCAUUUUUAUCUUCAGAUACGGGCAUAUUUUCCUCUGUGAAAGUAAUAAACUUUUCAUUAUGACUGCCUA